CUAAGUUUCGUAACGACUGGGAGCCGCCAUUGGAGCUCCUCAGGACAGCCGCGUGGGAAACAGAGGGAGCAGCGGGGCCACUGGGGCCCCCCAGCAGCCCCGAUUACAGACAACAUGCAGCUGAAGAUUAUUAUGGAACACAAUCCUCUAACUCAAAUGGGUCAAAUGGGUCUUACAAUGGGGCGCCCUCCGCUCGCAAAUAUGCCAAAAUUCGCUACCACUUUGUAGCACGGAAUGCCAACGAGCUGUCGGUGCUGCAGGAUGAAAUCCUCGAGGUAAAAAACGCAAAUAUGGUUUUUAAUCUAAACCAAAUGCAGAUUUUAGUAUCUGGCCGGGACGAUGCAAACUCUUGUUUGUUUACCUUUUGGGAAGGUCAUACACGGCGAGCUGUGUGCACACCUGUUAUGUUGUUUUGUUUCUUUUGUUUCUUGAAAAACCAACAAACACACACAGUUUCAACAUGUAUGCAUGGAUUAAUUGGUCUUAAACCAAUAUGAAUAACGUCCACCGUUCUCCGCUGUCGGUCUUUGUCUUUGCAUGUUGCAACGAGUCAAUACACUCAUAUGAAGGCUGCUGUCAGCUUUCAUACUGUGAGUCACACUCAUUAGGUAUAUUCAGGCGAGGUCCAGUGGUUAGAAACAACCUCCACUGACUGCUCAACAGCAAGCAAGUUCAAAUACGGCAUCAGCACUUAUAUUAUUUAGCUUAUUUCAGUAAGAUUUCUUCCUAUUCUUAUUUUACCUAAUUUUGUCUGAUUAAAUAUAUUUAUAUGGGAUAAGAGAAACAGGGCUGCUGCAUUUCAUUGCAUUUUGAUGAACUGUACCUUUUAAAAUAUAUAUUAAUAAAUGAUUAUAAAUUAACUAAACGAGGUCAGAAUGACAUAAUUCCCAAAUACAAUAAUCAUUCCGAUGUAUUUACACAUGUAUUGUAAAUAAAAACUUUGUGACAAACCAAACUAGACUGUAAAACAAAGAAUGAAUGAAUGAUGAAUGAAUAGAUUUGUUCUAACCUACACUGAGCAAUGAGUGAAUGGUGAACAGUAGCUUCCUGAAAACAGAACAAUUAAAAGAAAUGAACCGUUCUUCUGUUUUCAGAAGACCAGCGGGGACUCGGAGCUGCAGGAGGUCAUGAAGUGGCGGCAGGAGAGGAUCGACUCGAACAACGCGGACGGAACCUGCUGAGCAGCACGACGGCUGCAGCAGCUGCUUCAAUCAACCUUCUGCUAAUUAUAAUCCACAGGGGGGACAUACUGAGAUGUGGUACACAUUCUUAGUCUAUAUUUAUUUUGUAUCAUACGACUUGCAUGUAUUCCAGUGUUUUCUUAUCUAAUUAUGUUGCUUUGGUUUUCAUUGCCUCAUUCAAUUUUCGUACGAACAGGGGGACAUAUGAAUCUACGCACAGUUGUGUUUGUGGGAGCACGUGUGAGCGCAACAUGCAUGUAAUGUACAUAUAUGUACCAGCUGUGUGGUCAAUGUUUCUGCUCAUUGGCAAUAUUCUAGCUGUUUACCUAAUGGCUUAAAUAAACAAGCAGUCCGUAUCUCUCACACAUCUAAAUCUGUGCCAGAACGUUUGACACAUUUUCUGAUAUAUAGCCAAUUAUUUUCGUAUUGCUGUUUACGAGUAUAACAAAUAAUCAAACACACUAUGUAUGUCAGAAGUUGACUCAUCCCGUUGGUACCUGCAGAUCAGCACCAGGUAUUAACAUGAAUAGUGUCGCUUUUCAUAAAAUUAAUCAUGCAUGUUUAUCGUCAAUAACAGUGAGACGCUAUGAUGAAUGUGUUUGUAUGCAGCAUGAUGCAUGCAUAUGUGUAAUGAUGUGAUGUGUAGUCACGAAAUGAAGAUUAAAGCAAAACAUUCAGGAUUUAAAGUUGUAAAUAUGAUAAAAACGUUAGAAUUUG
Non-coding RNA from Gasterosteus aculeatus aculeatus (three-spined stickleback), 1898 nucleotides. The record is from RefSeq and is a predicted model, not a curated record. NCBI's taxonomy places the organism in Eukaryota, Metazoa, Chordata, Actinopteri, Perciformes, Gasterosteidae.